Molecule: transfer RNA, 76 nt
Filed under: Clostridia bacterium
Lineage: Bacteria; Bacillati; Bacillota; Clostridia
Description: tRNA-Arg
Rfam family: tRNA
About the family: Transfer RNA (tRNA) molecules are approximately 80 nucleotides in length.
Source: RNAcentral
GCGCCCGUAGCUCAAUGGAUAGAGUAACUGACUACGAAUCAGCAGGUUGGACGUUCGAAUCGUCUCGGGCGCGCCA